ACAACUCUUGGAGAAUGCUCAGAAAUUAGCAGGACAUAUAAUUGUCUCGCCGUUGUGGAACUGAGUGUUUUACCCAUCUUUGGUCUCUUCACCAGUGGUUAAUGCGUCUGACCAAUGACUUGGGCAUGUCCUUCCUCGACAAUUUUGACUCCUUCUGGAAUAGGCCUGGCUACUUUGUGGAAGAUGGAAUUCACCUGGGUGAAAAUGGCUCCCGCCUGUUGUCAUCAAACACUGGAAAGGUUAUUGGUCAACUAAAUUGAUAGCAGCAGCAGUAGUAGCAGGGGUGUGAGAAGAAGGGGUUAUUAAAGAGCUGCAGACUCAUUCCUUGACACAUCACUCGCAAAGGCAUUGCAAAUGAUUGAAGACAUAUCUCUGGAGAACGUCAUGCACCAAGUCACCAGCCUGUCCCAGAGGGUCCUGGCACCUAUUGCUGAUUUCAGGAUGAACUCUCGCCAAAACUCCGGGAGGAAUUCGAUCACCAACUCAAUGAGUUUGUGCAUGACUUCAAGAAGAGGACAUGGACCAAAUGACUGGGACCACAGUGAAAUGAACAACAUGUUCUGUUAUUGUGCAGACAUCUCAGGAGUCAGACACUAGACACUUUCAUUUUAUUCCAUAGACACUUUUGUUAUCUACAUGUCUGUUCAUAACAGACACUGUUUUACUAUUGUUCCAAAAUAUUUAUAUUCAGAAGCAUUUGUAACUACACUGACACAUUUUAUUCCAUAGACGCUUGUUUACAAGUCUGUUCUCGGCAAUUGCUUUUGUAUUGUGGUUUACUUUCAGAAUCAAGAAUAAAGGUUUAUUAAUGUGCUGAAAAGCUCUGUUGGCAUAUAUUUGAGGUGUUUCAAUGCAUUCUGUAUGACAAUUAAGU
Molecule: long non-coding RNA, 874 nt
Organism: Salvelinus fontinalis (brook trout)
Lineage: Eukaryota; Metazoa; Chordata; Actinopteri; Salmoniformes; Salmonidae
Exons: 3
Source: RefSeq, a predicted model, not a curated record